UUAUGUAUAGUGGUUAGUAGUCAUGAAAUUUAAAAUGUGAAUAGAAGAAUACUCAAACUCAUUAAUAUCAUCAAUAUAAAUAAAGAAUUUUACAUAAAAAAAACUAAAGACAAUUAAACUCGUAUAACACAAUUCUUUAGCAGCUCUCUAUACACUAAGUUCAUGAGUUGUUCUCUGUUGUUAUCGCGAUUAAAACCCAAGAUCCAAUUACACAAGAUCUCAAACCCUUUAAAGACAUUACACACAACCAAAAUAAUAGUUGCAGAACCAAUUAUCAAAUGUAAAGAGGAUUCUAAUACGGGUAAAUCCUUGUAUGUUGCAUAGUUAAGGCUCUUUGGAAAUUUAUAUGAGUUGCCAUGUUGUGAGGUUGUAGGGUUUACGAAUGAUGUGAAAAGUGUGACAAAUAAGAGAAGUUUUGGAAUGGUAGCCAUGAUUUGAGAAAAUAUUUG
This 449-nucleotide long non-coding RNA is filed under the name Lathyrus oleraceus (garden pea). RNAcentral describes it as "Pisum sativum (pea) long non-coding RNA (PSAT_LNC020062)". The record is from RNAcentral. Lineage: Eukaryota; Viridiplantae; Streptophyta; Magnoliopsida; Fabales; Fabaceae.